Molecule: long non-coding RNA, 364 nt
Filed under: Monodelphis domestica (gray short-tailed opossum)
Lineage: Eukaryota; Metazoa; Chordata; Mammalia; Didelphimorphia; Didelphidae
Description: lncRNA (ENSMODG00000033411.2)
Source: RNAcentral
AAUAUGGGAAAGAUAAGAUUUGAUCAUUGACAUACAUUAGAGUUUUGACUCUGUUCCCAUGACAGGCAAAUUUCUUCUACAGGAUUGACCACAUAUUCCCAAGAGAUACACAAGUCUGGUUUUAUUUUGAAAGACAACUGACAGGCUGGCAAACAACUUCUUCUCAUAAAUGUGUCCCACAGAUUAUCAAGGUUUCUCCCUGUAAACAAAACCUGUGGAGGACAUGUCAGUGACCCCAAUAACAGAAUGUACUUCCUUUGGGGAUAGCUGCAAAGUCAGAUUAAAUGCUGAAGUCAGCAGAUUCCUUUUUUGUAUGAGUCCAUCCAUACUUUGACACCUUUCUGCAGAAUAUUACGUGAAGUCC